This 87-nucleotide transfer RNA is filed under the name Candidatus Saccharimonadota bacterium. Its description in RNAcentral is "tRNA-Leu". It matches the Rfam family "tRNA". From Rfam's summary of the family: Transfer RNA (tRNA) molecules are approximately 80 nucleotides in length. Their secondary structure includes four short double-helical elements and three loops (D, anti-codon, and T loops). The record is from RNAcentral. Lineage: Bacteria; Candidatus Saccharimonadota.
GCCCGAGUGGCGGAAUUGGCAGACGCGCUAGCUUCAGGUGCUAGUGUUCGCAAGAACGUGCAGGUUCAACCCCUGUUUCGGGCACCA